RNAcentral lists this ribosomal RNA (256 nucleotides) under uncultured bacterium. RNAcentral describes it as "partial 16S ribosomal RNA". It matches the Rfam family "Bacterial small subunit ribosomal RNA", at positions 1245 to 1500 of the family's 1533-position model. The record is from RNAcentral.
AGAGACGAAACAGUGAUGUGGAGUAAAACUUAUAAAAGCGACCUCAGUUCGGAUUGAAGGCUGAAAUUCGCCUUCAUGAAGUCGGAAUUGCUAGUAAUGGCAGGUCAGCAUACUGCCGUGAAUACGUUCCCGGGCCUUGUACACACCGCCCGUCACACCAUGAGAGUUGGGAAUACCCGAAGCCUGUGAGCUAACUUUUAAGAGGCAGCAGUCGAAGGUAGAAUCAAUGAUUGGGGUGAAGUCGUAACAAGGUACC